GAGUCUCCAAGCUGAGGAGCCCAAGGAGACCAGCGACCGUGACAGGCUGGGAGCAGCCUGGACAGUCGUGCUCAGAGCCUCGGAGGGCACCGGCCCCUCGGACACCGUGACAUAGCACCUCUGGGCCCCAGCCCCAGAGAGCCCCAGGGUGGGGACUCGUGACAGCAGCUGUAGGACGCUCGCCUCCUCAGCAUGUGGGUGUUAGAUGCUAAAGCCAGGGCGAUCUCAAACACACAGCGCGGCCAGUCAGCACGCAGUGUCUGCCACAUUAUCUUUUAUUUAUUUGUAAUUGUUGUGGGUGUUGUGAGACAAGGUCUCUCUGACUUUGAAUUCCUCCUGCCUCAGCCUCCCCACAUCUGUAUUACAAGCGUGCACUGCUGCGCCCUCCACCAUGUCUUGAGAUGCGGUUGGAACAUGUGAGUCUGCUCCGGCUGGGGCGGCUCUUCAGUUGCUCUGAUGGCGAGGCUGUACCUGCUCUGUGUCACGCGGUCCCCUCCACCCCGCUGUCCCUUUGGUGUGCAGCUUUGUGUAGAGUGCGGGUCCCGACAUUCAGGGAGGGGAGGGACAGAUGCACUUGGCCUCAGCCGUCUGGGCAGCCCCGGGUGCCCUCAUCGCAGCCUCCCCCGCUCUGGAACCAGAUGUCUCCACCGGGCCCUCGGAGGGUCGCACGGAUGGCCUGGCUUCCAGCUGGAAAAUGCCAGGAGUGACAAAGACCAAGUGGCCUUCGCCUCCGUGGUGCUUAUUGGUGGCCUGGAGACACGGUGGCUCCAGAAACCUCAAGACACCACAUAAUAAAUUCACAGAGAUGUCAUGACCGUCUUUCCUAAACGUGUGGGGUCUGCAUCUGAUCGUCGUGCACCGAUCAUUUAAAAAACAAAACCAAAUAGGCGCUUGACCUGGAAGAGUGCUGUAGAGUCUGUUCUGAGAACGGAGUAAGGAGAGCUAAGGUGAACCAUGAAAGCCUCAUCCAUCAUCCUGCUGAGGAUGCAUUUGCGCAGCCCCCACCCUUGAAUCAAGACCCCUGAAGCUCACUACCUUUAAAAAUUUUGAAAAGUAAUCAAGACUAAUAUUUCACUGCCUUUUCUGGUGGUACUGAGGACUGAGCUUGUGGCCUCAGGCAUGGUAGGUAAGAGCUCUUUUCACAUUUCUCCUUGAUGUGAAAUUUGUACAUCGAAGGUGUGUAAAAUUUGGCAGACAAGACAAAGCAGCCUAGUAGAAAGCUUUUGCCCACACUGAUCAACACGAGGUGGGAACACUUGUUUUCCCUCCCCUGAAGCAUGUGAUUUCCCAGAAUGUCCGGGCGUCUCUCAUCUUCUCCGUGCUUCUGACUGAGGACUGGGGCUCCCGUGGGUUCUGGUGAGGGCCGGGAGUCUCCUCAGAGCAGAGACACGGCCAGGCUGCUCCUGCCUGCUUUGUGUCCCCACCAGCCCCGUGUUCGCGAAUUGACUGGAGGACAGCACUGUGCGAGGCCCGCUGGGCAAAUCCUGUCUUGAUCCCAGAAGUGGACACUGCUUUUAGACAUAUUUUUGUGGGGUCCCAGAAACUGACUUUUUUUUUUU
Molecule: long non-coding RNA, 1559 nt
Organism: Fukomys damarensis (Damara mole-rat)
Lineage: Eukaryota; Metazoa; Chordata; Mammalia; Rodentia; Bathyergidae
Exons: 3
Source: RefSeq, a predicted model, not a curated record